This is a long non-coding RNA of Gopherus flavomarginatus (Mexican gopher tortoise), 895 nucleotides long. RefSeq lists it as uncharacterized. The transcript has 2 exons. The record is from RefSeq and is a predicted model, not a curated record. NCBI's taxonomy places the organism in Eukaryota, Metazoa, Chordata, Testudines, Testudinidae.
UUCAGCUUUAUAAGCACAGGUAUCACUGCUGUAAGGCAGAGCGACUUACCCCUUGCUAGGGGACCUGUCGUCUCUACGUGCAUAUGCAUGUAUUCUCUGAUUAAUCAAUAAAGGAGCCUCAGGCUGUCUGAUCAACUCAACAGGGUGGUGAUCAUUUCCACGACAAUUUGGUGCAUUGGCCGGGAACCCACGAGAGGGCUUCUCCUGGAUCGGAGGACCGCAGGCAGUUUCCUUCCAACCCCAGGGCCCAAUUAAAAGUCUUUUUAAAUACAGUAGCUCUGCUGCUUGCUGAAACCAGAAGACUGGGUGUACAUGGAGGUCCACCAGCGAGGAACUGCCCUGGCUCCAUGCUGAAAGACCCUUAUCAAAUCCUGUUAAUUACCAACACUGCUGUGAAGUGCCAAGAAUUGACUACCUGCCCAUGUUCCUCACUGUGAUGACUUCUCUGACUAAUGAUUGGUCUAUCUUUCCUUCUGGCAUUGUUGCUCUUUCUGGACGGCAGGAGUGAAGGACAAGGUAAAAGAACUGGUAACUUCUCCUUUGUUUGCUGACAGACCCACUGAGCCUUUGAACUUUGCUAAGAAAACAACCUCUCCACGUGAGGACAUAAUAAAGCCUCCAAGCAAGCAAGGUGAUUGUGCUAGUAACCUCUCCCUUGCUGCCUCACUGCUGGACAGCUAAGUGAAUUAAGACUACGAAAUCUCAAAGAAUAGCUUGCGAAAGCUAGCCAAAACUACCUGAAAAUGAGACUUUUAAUGUUCCUUAACCUCUCCUCUUUAAUGAACUUGGGAUGGGGAUGGGAAAGUAAUAUUUUCUGAAUAUUUCUCCAAUUAGUAGCCUUACUUGUAAGCUCACUGCUGACACCACUAGUAAAUAACCAAACAUAUACCCACAA